This 164-nucleotide small nuclear RNA is filed under the name Tupaia belangeri chinensis (Chinese tree shrew). RNAcentral describes it as "Tupaia chinensis (Chinese tree shrew) U1 spliceosomal RNA". It matches the Rfam family "U1 spliceosomal RNA". Rfam says of the family: U1 is a small nuclear RNA (snRNA) component of the spliceosome (involved in pre-mRNA splicing). Its 5' end forms complementary base pairs with the 5' splice junction, thus defining the 5' donor site of an intron. Lineage: Eukaryota; Metazoa; Chordata; Mammalia; Scandentia; Tupaiidae. The record is from Rfam by way of RNAcentral.
AUACUUACCUGGCAGGGGAGAUACCAUGAUCAUAAAGGUGGUUUUCCCAGGGCGAGGCUUAUCCAUUGCACUCCGGAUGUGCUGACCCCUGCGAUUUCCCCAAAUGUGGGAAACUCGACUGCAUAAUUUGUGGUAGUGGGGGACUGCGUUCGCGCUUUCCCCUG